CUGAAGCUGCCAAUCUCAACAGUGUCCAAGUCCGGCUCGGUUUUCGCGGUGAUGGGUGUCGUUCCUUAUCUCUGUCUCCUCCUGUCUUGUCUGGCAGGAGUGCAUUCCGACAUCGUGCUGACCCAGCCCGAGUCAGCGGUGGUAAAGCCCGGGCUGUCCCACAGACUGUCCUGCACAGUCAGCACCUUUGAUAGAAAUGUCUAUGGAAUACACUGGGUGAAAUCGAUCUCCAGGAAAGGGCUGGUGUGGUUGGCUGCAAUAUACUAUGAUGACACUAAAUAUUAUGCACCCGAAGUCCAAGGCCGGUUCACUGUUUCCAAAGACAGCAGUACGGCGUAUCUGCAAAUGACCAGCCUGAAACUGGACGAUACGGCCACCUAUUACUGUGCGAGAUACAGUAAUGAUAUGAAGUACUAUCUUGACUACUGGGGCGGAGGAACCUCGCUGACAGUGACUUCAGAGGUCAAGUCCACACCAUCAGUCUACAUCAUACCUUCCUGCAACACAGAAUCUGACCAAGGCAUCAGGCUCCUCUGUCUGGUCAAGGACUAUCAGCCUGAAAGCAUCAGUCAGACAUGGUCCACUAACAGUGGGGACAUCACCACAGGAAUCAAGAAAUACCCAGCGGUGUUGGGGAAAAAUUCAAAGUACACAAUGAGCAGCUUUCUCGAAGUCUCUGUGGUGGACUGGAAGAAUAAAGUCUAUUACUGCAAGGCAGGGUACAAGCCAAACGAGAUUGUGACAGCAGAGUGGCGGAAACUUCAACCACAACCUCCGAAGCUCAGCUCCCUUGUUCCAUCCCGGGAGGUGAUCCACAGUCAAACAAAUGCUGUCCUGGGCUGUGUGAUAUCUGGAUUCUCUCCUGAAAACAUUCAAGUAUCCUGGAAAAAAGCUGGAUCUGCCCAAGAAGGCAUCGUUCUCCCUUCCUCUCGGAGAUCUGGUGGUGGAUUUGAAACAAUCACUUACCUGACAGUGCCUGUGCAGGAAUGGAAGAAACAGAAAUAUACUUGUGAAGUGAAUCACGCACCUUCUGGUUUCAUUGGUCAGGUCAACAUAACGUAUCAAGAGGAUGAAUGUUCAGAUACCCACCCCUCCGUCACUUUAAGCAAACCUUCCUUUGAAGAGAUCUGGACAAAGAGAUCAGCGACCAUUCUGUGUGAGGUGGUUCACAGUGAUUUACAGGGAUUCAGUGUAACCUGGCAGGUGGACAGAAGGAAGAAGGAAGAUGGGGUGAGGACUCUGGGUCCAGACAGCAAUGGAAGUGAAGACACGAUCACCAGCAGACUGACGGUCCCUGCUGCAGAGUGGAACAGUGGGGCUGAGUUCUCGUGUGUGAUAGAGGACGCGAGUUUGCCAGCACUGGUGAAGAAAUCCAUCAGGAAGGACACAGGUGGUGAUGUGACUCGUCCUCACAUCUACCUCCUCCCCCCAUCAUCGGAUGAGGUAGACACCGAUCAGACUGUGACCUUGAUGUGUCUGGUCACCAAGUUCUCUCCGGCAGAGAUCUAUGUGGCCUGGAUGGCCAAUGACACCCUUCUGAAGACAGGGUUUGUGAACCAGCCGGUGACCAAGGACCCCAGAAAAGGCUGGAACACAAUGACCAGUCAGCUGAAGGUUUCUCCUGAGGAGUGGAAGAGCGGCACCACUUUCUCCUGUGUGGUGGGUCAUGAGUCGCUCACAACCAACCUGUUCCGAAGCAUCAAUAAAUCUCACAGCAAACCCACUCUGGUCAAUGUCUCACUUGUUCUGACUGAUAGUUUUAAAUCUUGUGUGUAACACUGUGAUAUUCAAUCCAUGAAACCCUAGUUUUGUUAGUUUUAUGAUUAUUAAUUAUCAGAAAGGAUUAUUUAGCUCAUUAAAACAUGAAACCUUGGACCUUUUAAAAUAAUUAUGGAUGAAAUUAAGAUCACUAACCAAAUUAAGCUACAAACAUUGUUCCCUACAAAUCUCUGAGUUGCUUGGUAUAUUCUCAGACCUUCUGCCACGUUUGAAUGGAUUUCAACCCUGUCUGGGACUGCAAAAUGUAUUAAAUCUUUGUGUUUGUCAA
Hypanus sabinus (Atlantic stingray) is the source of this 2047-nucleotide non-coding RNA. The record is from the annotation of a RefSeq genome assembly. Lineage: Eukaryota; Metazoa; Chordata; Chondrichthyes; Myliobatiformes; Dasyatidae.